UACGUAGGGGGCAAGCGUUAUCCGGAUUUACUGGGUGUAAAGGGAGCGUAGGCGGGAUAGUAAGUUGAUUGUUAAAACUAUCGGCUCAACUGGUAGAUGCGAUCAAAACUGCAAUUCUUGAGUGAAGUAGAGGCAGGCGGAAUUCCUAGUGUAGCGGUGAAAUGCGUAGAUAUUAGGAGGAACACCAGUGGCGAAGGCGGCCUGCUGGGCUUUAACUGACGCUGAGGCUCGAAAGUGUGGGUAGCAAACAGG
Molecule: ribosomal RNA, 252 nt
Filed under: uncultured bacterium
Lineage: Bacteria
Description: partial 16S ribosomal RNA
Rfam family: Bacterial small subunit ribosomal RNA
Source: RNAcentral